Molecule: ribosomal RNA, 440 nt
Filed under: uncultured bacterium
Lineage: Bacteria
Description: partial 16S ribosomal RNA
Rfam family: Bacterial small subunit ribosomal RNA
Source: RNAcentral
CCUACGGGAGGCAGCAGUGGGGGAUAUUGCACAAUGGGGGGAACCCUGAUGCAGCGACGCCGCGUGGGUGAAGAAGCGCCUCGGCGCGUAAAGCCCUGUCAGCAGGGAAGAAAAUGACGGUACCUGAAGAAGAAGCCCCGACUAACUACGUGCCAGUAGCCGCGGGAAUACGUCGGGGGCAAGCGUUAUCCGGAUUUACUGGGUGUUAAGGGGGCGCAGGCGGGGUUGCAAGCCAGGCGUGAAAGCCCGGGGCCCAACCCCGGGACUGCUCUUGAAACUGCGUGGCUGGAGUGCAGGAGGGGCAGGCGGAAUGCGUGGUGUAGCGGUGAAAUGCGUAGAUAUCAGGAGGAACACCGGUGGCGAAGGCGGCCUGCUGGACUGCAACUGACGUUGAGGCCCGAAAGCGUGGGGAGCGAACAGGAUUAGAUACCCCGGUAGUC